AAAACAGCCCUUUUCAGGGCUAUCACAUGAAAUCCCUUAAAGGGUUU
Lutzomyia longipalpis is the source of this 47-nucleotide non-coding RNA. NCBI's taxonomy places the organism in Eukaryota, Metazoa, Arthropoda, Insecta, Diptera, Psychodidae. The record is from Rfam.